CCGGGCUUGACGGAAAACGGCGAGUGAGCGGCACAGCUCAAAUUUGAAAUCUGGCCUCUUUGGGGUCCGAGUUGUAAUUUGUAGAGGAUGUUUCGGGUACCGCCUCGGUCUAAAUUUCUUGGAACAGAAUGUCAAAGAGGGUGAGAAUCCCGUCUUGGACCGGCGGUAGGGCCCAUGUGAAACUCCUUCGACGAGUCGAGUUGUUUGGGAAUGCAGCUCAAAAUGGGUGGUAAAUUUCAUCUAAAGCUAAAUAUUGGCCAGAGACCGAUAGCGCACAAGUAGAGUGAUCGAAAGAUGAAAAGCACUUUGAAAAGAGAGUUAAACAGUAUGUGAAAUUGUUGAAAGGGAAGCGCUUGCAACCAGACUUGAGCGCGGCGGUUCCCCCUUCCUUUUGGUUGGGUUACUCCGCCGUGUCCAGGCCAACAUCGGUUCUGGGGGUCGGUUAAAGGCUCGAGGAAUGUAUCUACUCCUUCGGGGGUAGACUUAUAGCCUCGGGUGUCAUGCGACCUCCCGGGACCGAGGAACGCGCUUCGGCUCGGAUGUUGGCGUAAUGGUUGUCAGCGACCCGUCUUGAAACACGGACCAUU
RNAcentral lists this ribosomal RNA (587 nucleotides) under Exophiala sp. RNAcentral describes it as "partial 28S ribosomal RNA". It matches the Rfam family "Eukaryotic large subunit ribosomal RNA", at positions 69 to 670 of the family's 3401-position model. Lineage: Eukaryota; Fungi; Ascomycota; Eurotiomycetes; Chaetothyriales; Herpotrichiellaceae. The record is from RNAcentral.